Ribosomal RNA from Danio rerio (zebrafish), 116 nucleotides. The record is from Ensembl. NCBI's taxonomy places the organism in Eukaryota, Metazoa, Chordata, Actinopteri, Cypriniformes, Danionidae.
ACCGGCAGCUAGCUCUCUGCAACCUUUCACAUGGUUGCCCACUGAAGCUUAGCAGGGCUGUGCCCGGUCAGUACCUUAAUGGGAGACCACAUGGGAAAGCUAGGUUGCUGCCGGAA